GGUCCUGUAGCUCACUUGGAUAGAGCGGUUGCCUCCUAAGCAACAGGUAGUGCGUUCGAAUCGCAUCAGGAUCA
This 74-nucleotide transfer RNA is filed under the name Treponema bryantii. It matches the Rfam family "tRNA". From Rfam's summary of the family: Transfer RNA (tRNA) molecules are approximately 80 nucleotides in length. Their secondary structure includes four short double-helical elements and three loops (D, anti-codon, and T loops). The record is from Rfam by way of RNAcentral. Lineage: Bacteria; Pseudomonadati; Spirochaetota; Spirochaetia; Treponematales; Treponemataceae. RNAcentral also lists the same sequence under 1 other name.